AUAACAUGGAUUUGGAGAUCCGAGCAAAAGAGAAGAAGCUGACACUAGUUAUCUGACCUCAACAUCGAACGACACCAACACCUCAACAUCGAUCGACGGUACGACCUCAACGUCGACCGACGACAAGACCUCAACAUCGAUCGAUAUUACCACUUCAUCGUCGAUCGACAGUGGGCACAUAUUAGAGCGGAAGGAGUUCGAUGUAUGUGAAAAUCUAAGGGAUGGAGAUACCACUACGCGAUCAGACAAGUCUGGGGGAAGAAGAGGAAGAAUUGGAAGAAGA
Molecule: long non-coding RNA, 283 nt
Filed under: Brassica rapa (field mustard)
Lineage: Eukaryota; Viridiplantae; Streptophyta; Magnoliopsida; Brassicales; Brassicaceae
Description: long non-coding RNA (BRAP_LNC006802)
Source: RNAcentral